Long non-coding RNA from Oreochromis aureus, 1825 nucleotides. RefSeq lists it as uncharacterized. Lineage: Eukaryota; Metazoa; Chordata; Actinopteri; Cichliformes; Cichlidae. The record is from RefSeq and is a predicted model, not a curated record. The transcript has 2 exons.
CCUUUCCUCACACCUGACCUACACAAAGACUGAAAACGAAAAACAACUAAAUCAGAGGGCUCUUCGGGCUUUAUCCGAGCGUCCUUCUGGCUGGGACGGCUGCAGCAGAUGUUGGAGCCUGGGACAAAAUGGAUUUCCCCCCGCCGAGAGCAGCUUUUCUUGCCCUCCUUAAUGGAGGCUCCUUGAAAUGCUAAUGCCCCACCAUUAGUAUAGUGGUGGUCUAGCAUAGUGAUGGUGGGAAAAAAGGGAGAGACCGCGAUCCUGACUGAAAAACCUUUGUGACUGGACAACCCCUGGAAAAAUCAACUGUGCCGAUCCAGACGGACAAACGUCCAGUGGAGGUGUGAGAGAGAGAAAGCAAGAAAGGGGGGAUAUCCAUCUCACCACACACACAGCUGGGUCGUGUGAUGGCAUCUCAUCCACUCCCUCCCCCAAACCUCAUCCAUCCCUUCCUCAAAGUUCAGCUCCAAAGAGGGAUAAUGAUAAUCGUGCAUAUAAAGAGAGCGAUAAAAGAACCAAUUUCUGCUUUGCACCAAGCGUUUAAAGGAUCAGGGAACGAUUUUGAAAUUAGGAGGCUUAACUUGUUGAGAACAUUUCACAAUGAGCUGGUGCUUACUGUUAUCGGAGGAAUCAAACGGCGAAAGGCAAAGCUGCUUUGCUGAGUGGCGUGUACCACGUUUUUUUCACCCCUACGAGCACGGACGAGGAUGAACGCAGCAGUCUGGGAAAUGCAUUUUUGUAUUUGUGCAAAGAGGCAGCUCGGUAAAAGAUAAAAUCGGCUUGCAGGUGCGAAUGAGGCAAAACCUGACGUGGCCUCUUUGGUCAGAAUAUCAAAAUAUGAGGCUGGCUUCAUAUUUUUACUGAAAAGUGUGACUUGAAACUAUGCAGCGACUUCUGUGGAGUAUCUAAAGCUAGAUGAGGAUUUUUGCUCUCCUGCUAUUUCUUGCUUAACCCCCCCACCCCUCCUUCCCUCACACACACACACACACACUUGCAGAUUUAUCGCUCUGGACACUCUUGUCCCUGUCAGCAGCUGGCGGGCUGAGUCUUGUUUGAGCUUGUGUGUGUAUGAAUGCAUGUGCACAAAUGUGUGUGUGCACAUAGCCCAAGUAAAGCCUGCUGCUCUGCUCUGCUGUGCUGGCCAGGCCAUGUGGCCACUUUAAAGCUCCUUUCUGAGAGGCCUGUGAAGUUGUUAAGGAGCUCCACUACACUGGCAGUUGGCUCUGGGAAUCCCUCUGCCAGCUGUAGCCUGCACACACACACACACACACACACACACACACACACACACACACACACACACACACACACACACACACACACACACACACACACACACACACCCCUCCCUGCUUCACUUCCCUCUCUCUGUCUCUCAUGUUCCCCCUCUCAUGCUUACACUUGCUCCGUUUUUCUGUGUUCGCCGCCGUCGCUGUCCUCUCUUUCUGUCUGUAUUUGUUUGUCGCCUACUCUCUGUUUUUCAUGCUCCCUUUCUCCCUCCCUCUCUUUCGCUCUCUCUGUUUCCCUCGCUCUGUCUGUUCCUCGUUCUGACCGCGGUAUCUGCAUAAUCUAUGUAGUGAAACAUCAUUGCGGACCUUCUGUCUCUUCUGGCACCGGUCCGGCUGCACAUGUUUUCUCCUGUAUACCUGCUCAGAUCGCUGGAAAUGCACUUUGGCAACCGACACGGAGCCACGUGUGGCAAUGAUGGCUGUUUAGAAAAAAAAGAUGGUUUUGAAAGUGGGUUUGGGAAAAAAAAAAAAAAAGGGCCACAGCGAAUAGUUUGUAUCACUAAUUCUGCAAAAAAUUAAAGUUUAAUAUUUCUUCA